This 465-nucleotide ribosomal RNA is filed under the name uncultured bacterium. Its description in RNAcentral is "bacterial SSU rRNA". It matches the Rfam family "Bacterial small subunit ribosomal RNA", at positions 338 to 795 of the family's 1533-position model. The record is from RNAcentral.
CCUACGGGGCGCACCAGUAGGGAAUCUUCGGCAAUGGACGAAAGUCUGACCGAGCAACGCCGCGUGAGUGAAGAAGGUUUUCGGAUCGUAAAACUCUGUUGUUAGAGAAGAACAAGGACGUUAGUAACUGAACGUCCCCUGACGGUAUCUAACCAGAAAGCCACGGCUAACUACGUGCCAGCAGCCGCGGUAAUACGUAGGUGGCAAGCGUUGUCCGGAUUUAUUGGGCGUAAAGCGAGCGCAGGCGGUUUCUUAAGUCUGAUGUGAAAGCCCCCGGCUCAACCGGGGAGGGUCAUUGGAAACUGGGAGACUUGAGUGCAGAAGAGGAGAGUGGAAUUCCACGUGUAGCGGUGAAAUGCGUAGAGAUGUGGAGGAGCACCAGUGGCGAAGGCGGCUCUCUGGUCUGUAACUGACGCUGAGGCGCGAAAGCGUGGGGAGCAAACAGGAUUAGAUACCCCGGUAGUC